This 437-nucleotide ribosomal RNA is filed under the name uncultured bacterium. Its description in RNAcentral is "partial 16S ribosomal RNA". It matches the Rfam family "Bacterial small subunit ribosomal RNA", at positions 28 to 507 of the family's 1533-position model. The record is from RNAcentral.
GAUGAACGCUGGCGGCAUGCCUAAUACAUGCAAGUCGGACGGAAAGAGGUGUUUCUAGUGGCGGACGGGUGAGCAACGGGUGAGAAACUGCCCCUGGGAGGGGAACAAUAACUGGAAGCGGUAACUACUAGCACGCGGGCCUAGUAGCAAAAGGAGGAAUCCGCCCGAGGAGGGGCUAGCGACUGACUGGCUUGCUGGCGAGUUAAUAGCUUACCAAGGUGCUGAUCCGUAGUUGGUCCGAGAGGAUGAUCGGCCACACUGGGACUGAGACACGGAGCAGGCUCCUACGGGAGGCAGGAGUGAGGAAUAUUCCGCAAUGCGCGAAAGCCUGACGAGGCAAUGGCGCGUGGAGGUAGAGGGACCACGGAUCGUGAUCUUCUUUUGUCGGAGAAGAAACAAUGACGGUACCUGAGCAAUAAGCAUCGGCUAACUCUGUG